CAGCAGCCGCGGUAAUACAGAGGGUGCGAGCGUUAAUCGGAUUUACUGGGCGUAAAGCGUGCGUAGGCGGCUAAUUGAGUCGGAUGUGAAAUCCCCGAGCUUAACUUGGGAAUUGCAUUCGAUACUGGUUAGCUAGAGUGUGGGAGAGGAUGGUAGAAUUCCAGGUGUAGCGGUGAAAUGCGUAGAGAUCUGGAGGAAUACCGAUGGCGAAGGCAGCCAUCUGGCCUAACACUGACGCUGAGGUACGAAAGCAUGGGGAGCAAACAGGAUUAGAUACCCCAGUAGUCCCUGUCUCUUAUCC
This 301-nucleotide ribosomal RNA is filed under the name uncultured bacterium. RNAcentral describes it as "partial 16S ribosomal RNA". It matches the Rfam family "Bacterial small subunit ribosomal RNA", at positions 509 to 809 of the family's 1533-position model. The record is from RNAcentral.